GUAUUUUAUAAUGUAUUUUUUGACCAUCAAUAUUCAAGAUUUUCAAGUUUUAAUAGAUCGAAGCUUUAAACUUUAUAAAUAAAAAUGAAAGUAUAUUUUAAGCCUAUCACAAAUAUUUUCAACAUUCAAACUACAUUUCUCAAUACUAUUUGAGAGCAGGCUCUAAUUUGAUUGUUUAGAGCCUAGGCCCUAUACAAACCGCACCCAUAGAUAAAUAGACUAAAGAGGGACUCCUCUUCUAACAAGGUCAAGCCC
Molecule: long non-coding RNA, 255 nt
Filed under: Amborella trichopoda
Lineage: Eukaryota; Viridiplantae; Streptophyta; Magnoliopsida; Amborellales; Amborellaceae
Description: long non-coding RNA (ATRI_LNC005041)
Source: RNAcentral